ACAAACACAUAUUGCUUAGAGGUGUCAAGUGAACGGGUUGAGUUGGAAUUGAUAAUGUUAAAAUGGGCUGAAGUAGAAAUUAGGUUGGGUCCUAACUUAGCCAAGUUUUCUUUCACUCAAAUGGACUUUAAAAUGGGCUAGGUCUUGACCCGCUCAAUUUGACAUGUUUAAUUUCAAUAAAUUUAAUAUAUAGUUAUUUAAGUUUUAAAUUUCAACUCAAGAUUUUCUUUAAAAAAAAAGAAGAAGUUACAAAUGAUAGAUAAAUCCUAGGAGAUAUAAAAUAGAUAGCAAUUUAUAUCUUCAAUAUUAGCACAUACAUUAAAAAAUCUUAAAACGAGUUAAAAUUUAAAAUUAAAUUAGGUUUAAUUGAACAUUCUCUUAAAAUUAGUUAAGUCUUGAAUGAGUUAAACUUAUACCAAAUUCAAAUUAUCUUGAAUUUAAUUUUUAAAAUUCUAAACGUAUUUGACAGAUUACUCGUAAUUGGUCUCAUUUUUGACAUCCCAACAAAACAAAUACUACUACAGAGCGAUAUCAAUGUCACGACCCAAAACGAGUCGUGAGUGACAACCAACACAUCUAAAACCCCAACAUAUACCAAUAGUUCAACUAUAAAUAAUAUCAAUAAUGCGGAAGCUCCAAAAGAUACUAAGCAACCAAUUUAAAUAAGUUUCUAAGGUUUAAUACUUAUCAUCCCAAAAUCUGAUAGUCAUCACAUCAAGGACAUCUAAUCUCCAAUACUAAGCCUAAGAAUAUCGAAUACACUAAAAUAAAGAAUAAAAUGGUAUGUGUCCGAAAGCAUAGGACAUCAUGUUAUGACCGAGAGAAUCCAACACGAGCUAGAAAUAAUAGCUCACCCUGAACUCUGAUGUGCUGGAGACUGGCUAGAGCUGAGGGCGAGUCGAAGUCGAUGGUACACUUGCUGCACUCCACAAAAUAACAAAGAAGAAAAUACAAGUAGAGGUCAGUACAAUGAACACGUACUGAGUAGGUAUCAUCGGCCAACUCAAAAUAGAAAUCAAUAUAUAUUGAAUAAUAAUAUAAAAUCAACUACAAUACUUAACAGGUGGCAAGCAACAAACACAUGAACCAUUGACAACAACACCAUAACAGGUACACCAUCAAUCAGCAAAUCAAACACACCUAUGAGGACUCAUGCCUCCACACCAUACUCAUUUGAAAGAUAGGUUCUUUGAGGUUGAGUAUAUUAAGUCACUUCAAGAUUCCCUUCCUUUAAUGUUAUUAUGUCGGAACGUGACACUCCGAUCCCAUAUACCGUGUCGAAACGUGACACUCCGAUCCCUUAAUAUCGUGUCGGAACGUGACACUCCGAUCCAAUUAUCUUAUAAUUUUAUUUCAUCAAGCCUUCUUUAUUCAAGGCGUACUUUUAAUAGAGAGGGUUCAAGAUUAGAAAUUCAACAGUCUCAUAAUUUUAGGCCAACCACAAACCACACAAUCAAAACAUACAGCCACACAAUCAAGUAAAUAGGAGACUUUACAAUAUCACUCAAUACAUAUCAAUCGCUAUUUAGAGUUUAUCUAUCAAAUAAAAUUAAACCAUAACCUACCUCCACCGAAGAACCGAAGUCAAGCAACUACUUCUCCAAUGCCUUUCCUUUUCUUAUUGCCUCCGAACCCUUCCAAUCUAUCAAGUAUAUAAUAUACAUAAGGUGUAAGUUAACAAGACCAUAAACACUCCGAUUAUUCUGUGUCUAGCCUAUACUCAUCAAUUCACCUAAUUCUAUAAUCAAUUUCCUAAAUUUUAAACUUAAGGUAAGUUCUAUUUCCUCUCAUUAGCAUAACUUUAAUGUAAUUCAUAUAAUAUACUACACCUUAUAUUUAAUUACCUAUCUCAAUAUAUCAAAAUAUAAUCUAUAAUAUAAUAACAACAUUAAAAUUUUUAAAAGUUAAAGCCACUGGUUAAGGUACCAGUGGCAGCGAACACUUCACAAUAUACCCACCCCUUUAUAUUCCAAUUCUUAAAAAUGAAAUUCAGUUAUUUUCUUGCAGCUUCAUCGAUCCAGCUUCUAACACAAGGCGAACCUACCUUGGAUUAUUUUCCAUUAACUUCACGUGAGAACAGGGAGGAAAUAUGUACCUACGAAUUCGCAUGAAAAUUGUAUCAAUUUUUUCUUUGUUCUAAAAUUUAAAUUGGCAGAACAUUUAAACCUUUACAUUGUCAUACCUUACACCUUCUUUUAAUUAAUCAUCACAAUAUAACAAUUUUUCCAAUCCCAACAUGCUGCUCCCUCUUCUCUAUUUUAUUAUUUUAUUUUACAAAACAAACAUUUCCAUCCAAUUUUAUAAUAUUAAUCAAAAGAGACCAAUAAUUAAUCUACAGAAAUCUAACUCCUUAGAUUCAAAACAGAACUCCCGUUCUUCCCUUUCUAAUUAACAAUAUAUUAGGCUGCUAGUAAUAUUACUCUCUAUUAGAAAUCACCAUUACAUGUAACAAAAGAAUAAAAAUUUCAAGAACCUUAAUUCAUAACACACUAAAGUCAAUUUUCUUUUAUGUAACAUGUAACUGCUGCUAAAAUGUUGCAGGCAGCAACAUCAUACAGCCGCCACGUAGUCACAAUUUGCCCAUAUCCCCCUUUUCCCAUUUAAUUAGUAUAAUAUUCUAUCAUGGCUAAAAUAUCAACAUAUAUCCCUAUCAUCAAUACAUAUGUAUAGCGCAAUAUUAAGCUGGUCGAGUUUUACCUGAAGGCCCACUUUACGAUCUUCUUCGCAAUCCUUCUGCCCCUCUCUGAUUUUCUUACUUUCCUCCAGAGAUAAAUUAUACCUAAUUUCUAUAUAGGACUAAUUAUAUAAAUAAUGAAAAGUGUCCAUCACUAAUUGUUAAGUUAUUUUCUUUAACUAUCAAUUAAAUAAAUUAUUAAAAUUAUCC
RNAcentral lists this long non-coding RNA (2884 nucleotides) under Solanum lycopersicum (tomato). Its description in RNAcentral is "long non-coding RNA (SLYC_LNC001341)". The record is from RNAcentral. Lineage: Eukaryota; Viridiplantae; Streptophyta; Magnoliopsida; Solanales; Solanaceae.